AGAGUUUGAUCAUGGCUCAGGACGAACGCUGGCGGCGUGCCUAAUACAUGCAAGUCGAGCGGACCGAAAGGAGAGCUCGCUCUCCUUUCAGUCAGCGGCGGACGGGUGAGUAACACGUGGGUAACCUGCCUGUAAGACCGGGAUAACUCGCGGAAACGCGAGCUAAUACCGGAUAGGUCCCGUGGCCGCAUGGCGACGGGAGGAAAGAUGGCGCGAGCUAUCGCUUACAGAUGGGCCCGCGGCGCAUUAGCUAGUUGGUGGGGUAACGGCCCACCAAGGCGACGAUGCGUAGCCGACCUGAGAGGGUGAUCGGCCACAUUGGGACUGAGACACGGCCCAAACUCCUACGGGAGGCAGCAGUAGGGAAUCUUCCGCAAUGGGCGAAAGCCUGACGGAGCAACGCCGCGUGAGCGAAGAAGGCCUUCGGGUCGUAAAGCUCUGUUGUCAGGGAAGAACAAGUACCGGAGUAACUGCCGGUACCUUGACGGUACCUGACCAGAAAGCCCCGGCUAACUACGUGCCAGCAGCCGCGGUAAUACGUAGGGGGCGAGCGUUGUCCGGAAUCAUUGGGCGUAAAGCGCGCGCAGGCGGUCCCUUAAGUCUGAUGUGAAAUCUUGCGGCUCAACCGCAAGAGGUCAUUGGAAACUGGGGGACUUGAGUGCAGGAGAGGGAAGCGGAAUUCCAUGUGUAGCGGUGAAAUGCGUAGAGAUAUGGAGGAACACCAGUGGCGAAGGCGGCUUCCUGGCCUGUAACUGACGCUCACGCGCGAAAGCGUGGGGAGCAAACAG
This 788-nucleotide ribosomal RNA is filed under the name uncultured bacterium. RNAcentral describes it as "bacterial SSU rRNA". It matches the Rfam family "Bacterial small subunit ribosomal RNA", at positions 8 to 775 of the family's 1533-position model. The record is from RNAcentral.